CUCAAAAUGAUCCAGUCUCAUUUAAUGUUUAUGCAACUCCACUUGUACUCAGAUAAUAAGAUAAUACCUAUACCAAAAAGAGAUUCAAUGACUCUGAUAAAUGACAAACUGCUAGUCCUUCACUUCAUCAAAGAAAAACCACUUCCAUAAUAACAAACAUACUUGAUACAACAACUAUAAACCCUUAAUAUUUCUGGUUUAAUUUUCAUGAGGAAGAAACUAGAAAGGAAUGGUUUGACCACAAAUAUGAUGAAUGGAACCAUUAAGGAAUAGAUAGACAAGGAAGGUUCUUUAGGCUUGCUGAAGCAGCUUCCUGCAUGG
This 321-nucleotide unclassified non-coding RNA is filed under the name Hevea brasiliensis (rubber tree). The record is from RNAcentral. Lineage: Eukaryota; Viridiplantae; Streptophyta; Magnoliopsida; Malpighiales; Euphorbiaceae.